This 720-nucleotide ribosomal RNA is filed under the name uncultured archaeon. RNAcentral describes it as "bacterial SSU rRNA". It matches the Rfam family "Archaeal small subunit ribosomal RNA", at positions 1 to 725 of the family's 1478-position model. The record is from RNAcentral.
UUCCGGUUGAUCCUGCCGGAGGACAUUGCUAUUGGGAUUCGAUUUAGCCAUGCUAGUCGAGCGAGUUCACACUCGUGGCACAUAGCUCAGUAACACGUGGCCAAGCUACCCUUCAGUCAGCAAUACCCUCGGGAAACUGAGGCUAAUAGCUGAUACGAAACAGACGCUGGAAUGCACUGUAUUCCAAAGACACCGCUGAAGGAUGCGGCUGCGGCCGAUUAGGUAGACGGUGGGGUAACGGCCCACCGUGCCAGUAAUCGGUACGGGUGAUGAGAGUCAGAGCCCGGAGACGGAAUCUGAGACAAGAUUCCGGGCCCUACGGGGCGCAGCAGGCGCGAAACCUUUACACUGCACGAAAGUGCGAUAGGGGAAUCCCAAGUGCGAGGGCAUAUUAGCCCUCGCUUUUGUUGACUCUAAGGCGGUCAACGAAUAAGAGCUGGGCAAGACCGGUGCCAGCCGCCGCGGUAAUACCGGCAGCUCAAGUGAUGUCCCAUAUUAUUGGGCCUAAAGCGUCCGUAGCUGGCCGACCAAGUCUAUCGGGAAAUCCACCUGCCCAACAGGUGGGCGUCCGGUAGAAACUGGCCGGCUUGGAACCGGAAGGCUCAGAGAGUACGUCCGGGGUAGGAGUGAAAUCCCGUAAUCCCGGACGGACUACCGAUGGCGAAAGCACUCUGAGAAGACGGCUUCGACAGUGAGGGACGAAAGCUCGGGUCUCAAACC